GAAAUGCGAUAAGUAAUGUGAAUUGCAGAAUUCAGUGAAUCAUCGAAUCUUUGAACGCACCUUGCGCUCCUUGGUAUUCCUUGGAGCGUGCCUGUUUGAGUAUCAUGAAAUCUUCAAAGUAAAUCUUUUGUUAACUCAAUUGGUUUCUACUUUGGUAUUGGAGGUCUUUGCAGCUUCACACCUGCUCCUCUUUGUUCAUUAGCUGGAUCUCAGUGUUAUGCUUGGUUCCACUCGGCGUGAUAAGUUAUCUAUCGCUGAGGACACUGUAAAAGGUGGCCAAGGUAAAUGCAGAUGAACCGCUUCUAAUAGUCCAUUGACUUGGACAAUACUUUUAUGAUCUGAUCUCAAAUCAGGUAGGACUACCCGCUGAAUUUAAGC
RNAcentral lists this unclassified non-coding RNA (378 nucleotides) under plant metagenome. RNAcentral's name for it is "partial contains 5.8S ribosomal RNA, internal transcribed spacer 2, and large subunit ribosomal RNA". The stretch from base 1 to 105 matches the Rfam family "5.8S ribosomal RNA", at positions 50 to 154 of the family's 154-position model. The record is from RNAcentral.